This 547-nucleotide long non-coding RNA is filed under the name Homo sapiens (human). Its description in RNAcentral is "non-protein coding lnc-ZDHHC11-5:1". The record is from RNAcentral. Lineage: Eukaryota; Metazoa; Chordata; Mammalia; Primates; Hominidae.
CGGGGCCACGCUGGCUGAGGCCUCCUGACCACGCUGUCCUGGGCUGGGCUGCCUUCUCUCCACCCAGGCUGAGGCUCAUCCAGCACAAGGGUGGGGCCACGGAAGGGCAGUGGGCACCCAGCGCAGAUGGACGAGAGGUGUUUCCCCUGAGCAUGGUGGAGGCUCACAGAUGAGAGGUGUUUCCCCUGAGCACGGUGGAGGCUCAUAGAUGAGACGUGUUUCCCCUGAGCAUGGUGGAGGCUCAUAGAUGAGAGGUGUUUCCCCUGAGCACAGUGGAGGAUCCAGGGACUCUCAAGGCCCCGUGUGCUGAGCCCCGGCUGUCUGCAGCACUGUAUUGUGAAGAUCACCAGGGAAAAGAACCACGCCUGCUCCCCAGCUACUCUGUGCUGACCUGAAAGAGGCCUUGGUGUGCGUGGGAGUGGGGACCAACGUUGCCUGGUGUCACAGGACGCACCGGGGGGUCCCUGCCCUGCCUCCCUGCCAUCCCGUCUGGAGCACAGCAUGUGUCCAGAGAGGCUGAGCAGCCCGGCAGGGACAGAGAGGUUGC